Molecule: ribosomal RNA, 406 nt
Filed under: uncultured bacterium
Lineage: Bacteria
Description: partial 16S ribosomal RNA
Rfam family: Bacterial small subunit ribosomal RNA
Source: RNAcentral
AUUGAACGCUGGCGGCAGGCCUAACACAUGCAAGUCGAACGAGUGGCGGACGGGUGAGUAAUGUAUGGGAACCUCCCUGAUGGAGGGGGAUACCUACUGGAAACGGUAGCUAAUACCGCAUACCAUCAGAUGUGCCCAGAUGGGGUUAGCUUGUUGGUGGGGUAACGGCUCACCAAGGCGAAGAUCCCUAGCUGGUCUGAGAGGAUGACCGGCCACACUGGAACUGGGACACGGUCCAGACUCCUACGGUAGGCGGCAGUGGGGAAUAUUGCACAAUGGGAGCAAGCCUGACGCAGCCAUGCCGCGUGUAGGAAGAAGGCCGUGGGGUUGGAAAGUACUUUCAGCGGGGAGGCGGUACCCGCAGAAGAAGCACCGGCUAACUCCGUGCCAGCAGCCGCGGUAAUUC